Non-coding RNA from Phrynosoma platyrhinos (Desert horned lizard), 72 nucleotides. NCBI's taxonomy places the organism in Eukaryota, Metazoa, Chordata, Lepidosauria, Squamata, Phrynosomatidae. The record is from the annotation of a GenBank genome assembly.
GCCAGUGUGGCAUAAUGGUUUGAGUGUUACACUAUGACUCUGGAGGACAAAGUUCAAUUCCCAGCUCGGCCA